Molecule: long non-coding RNA, 215 nt
Filed under: Elaeis guineensis (African oil palm)
Lineage: Eukaryota; Viridiplantae; Streptophyta; Magnoliopsida; Arecales; Arecaceae
Description: long non-coding RNA (EGUI_LNC019642)
Source: RNAcentral
UGCGAGUGGAUGAAUAUUCCUGAUCAUUCACUAAUUACUUUGAGAUCUAUGUAGAAAGAUGAAUAAUUUAGAUCGACACAAUUGCUUUGAAAUUUGUGUAGAUAGAUUAAUAAUCUAGAUCUAUGCAAAUGGAUGGAUAAUCUUGGCCAUGCACCAGUCACUUUGAAAUCUGCACAUAUGGAUGAGUAAAAAAGUUUGGAGAACUUUGAGAUCUG